RNAcentral lists this ribosomal RNA (520 nucleotides) under uncultured Acaulospora. RNAcentral's name for it is "SSU rRNA". It matches the Rfam family "Eukaryotic small subunit ribosomal RNA", at positions 569 to 1090 of the family's 1831-position model. Lineage: Eukaryota; Fungi; Glomeromycota; Glomeromycetes; Diversisporales; Acaulosporaceae. The record is from RNAcentral.
AGCAGCCGCGGUAAUUCCAGCUCCAAUAGCGUAUAUUAAAGUUGUUGCAGUUAAAAAGCUCGUAGUUGAAUUUCGGGGUUCAUACGUUGGUCGGGCUUUUUGGUCUGUACUGGCGUAAUGGAUUCCUACCUUCUGAAUAACCGGCAUGUCAUUAAUUUGGUGCGCCGGGGAAGCAGGACUGUUACCUUGAAAAAUUAGAGUGCUUAAAGCAGGCUAUCGCCUGAAUACAUUAGCAUGGAAUAAUGAAAUAGGACGGCAUGGCUCUAUUUUGUUGGUUUCUAGGAUCACCGUAAUGAUUAAUAGGGAUAGUUGGGGGCAUUAGUAUUCAAUUGUCAGAGGUGAAAUUCUUGGAUUUAUUGAAGACUAACUUCUGCGAAAGCAUUUGCCAAGGAUGUUUUCAUUAAUCAAGAACGAAAGUUAGGGGAUCGAAGACGAUCAGAUACCGUCGUAGUCUUAACCAUAAACUAUGCCGACUAGGGAUCGGACGAUGUUAAUUUUUAAUGACUCGUUCGGCGCCUUA